RNAcentral lists this ribosomal RNA (253 nucleotides) under uncultured bacterium. RNAcentral describes it as "partial 16S ribosomal RNA". It matches the Rfam family "Bacterial small subunit ribosomal RNA", at positions 524 to 776 of the family's 1533-position model. The record is from RNAcentral.
UACGUAGGGGGCAAGCGUUGUCCGGAUUUAUUGGGCGUAAAGAGCGUGUAGGCGGCUAGGUAGGUCCGUUGUGAAAACUCGAGGCUCAACCUCGAGACGUCGAUGGAAACCAUCUAGCUAGAGUCCGGAAGAGGAGAGUGGAAUUCCUGGUGUAGCGGUGAAAUGCGCAGAUAUCAGGAAGAACACCCGUGGCGAAGGCGGCUCUCUGGGCCUUGCCUGACGCUGAGGCGCGAAAGCUAGGGGAGCGAACAGG